AACGUCGUGAGACAGUUCGGUCCCUAUCUGUCGCGGGCGCAGGAAGUUUGAGGAGAGCUGUCCUUAGUACGAGAGGACCGGGAUGGACGCACCGCUGGUGCACCAGUUGUCACGCCAGUGGCACAGCUGGGUAGCUAUGUGCGGAAGGGAUAAGCGCUGAAAGCAUCUAAGCGUGAAGCCCCCUCCAAGAUGAGACUUCCCACAGCGUUAAGCUGGUAAGACCCCUCAUAGACGAUGAGGUUGAUAGGUUCGGUGUGGAAGCGCGGCAACGCGUGGAGCUGACGAAUACUAAUCGGUCGAGGACUUAUCCAC
RNAcentral lists this non-coding RNA (312 nucleotides) under Brevibacillus borstelensis AK1. RNAcentral describes it as "Bacterial large subunit ribosomal RNA". It matches the Rfam family "Bacterial large subunit ribosomal RNA", at positions 2615 to 2925 of the family's 2925-position model. Lineage: Bacteria; Bacillati; Bacillota; Bacilli; Caryophanales; Paenibacillaceae. The record is from Rfam by way of RNAcentral.